This 524-nucleotide ribosomal RNA is filed under the name Calliopum aeneum. Its description in RNAcentral is "partial 16S ribosomal RNA". It matches the Rfam family "Bacterial large subunit ribosomal RNA", at positions 1838 to 2620 of the family's 2925-position model. Lineage: Eukaryota; Metazoa; Arthropoda; Insecta; Diptera; Lauxaniidae. The record is from RNAcentral.
GCGACUGCUCGACGGUCUAGCCUGCCCACUGAAUUUUAAAUGGCCGCAGUAUAUUAACUGUGCAAAGGUAGCAUAAUCAUUAGUCUUUUAAUUGAAGGCUGGUAUGAAUGGUUGGACGAAAUAUUAACUGUUUCAAGUAAAUUUAUUAUAGAAUUUUAUUUUUUAGUUAAAAAGCUAAAAUUUAAUUAAAAGACGAGAAGACCCUAUAAAUCUUAAUAAUUAGAUUUAUUUAAAUUAUAAAGAAUAAUUAUUUUUAAAUAAAUUUAAUUAUUUUAUUGGGGUGAUAUUAAAAUUUAAUGAACUUUUAAUUUGUUAAAUCAUUAAUUUAUGAAUAGUUGAUCCAAUUUUAUUGAUUAAAAAUUUAAGUUACUUUAGGGAUAACAGCGUAAUUUUUUUGGAGAGUUCUUAUCGAUAAAAAAGAUUGCGACCUCGAUGUUGGAUUAAGAGAUACUUUUAGGUGUAGCCGCUUAAAUAUUAAGUCUGUUCGACUUUUAAAUUCUUACGUGAUCUGUUUCCAAACCGGA